RNAcentral lists this ribosomal RNA (902 nucleotides) under Staphylococcus epidermidis. RNAcentral describes it as "bacterial SSU rRNA". It matches the Rfam family "Bacterial small subunit ribosomal RNA", at positions 22 to 901 of the family's 1533-position model. Lineage: Bacteria; Bacillati; Bacillota; Bacilli; Caryophanales; Staphylococcaceae. The record is from RNAcentral.
GCUCAGGAUGAAACGCUGGCGGGCGUGCCUAAUACAUGCAAGUCGAGCGAACAGACAGAAGAGCUUGCUCCUCUGACGUUAGCGGCGGACGGGUGAGUAACACGUGGAUAACCUACCUAUAAGACUGGGAUAACUUCGGGAAACCGGAGCUAAUACCGGAUAAUAUAUUGAACCGCAUGGUUCAAUAGUGAAAGACGGUUUUGCUGUCACUUAUAGAUGGAUCCGCGCCGCAUUAGCUAGUUGGUAAGGUAACGGCUUACCAAGGCAACGAUGCGUAGCCGACCUGAGAGGGUGAUCGGCCACACUGGAACUGAGACACGGUCCAGACUCCUACGGGAGGCAGCAGUAGGGAAUCUUUCGCAAUGGGCGAAAGCCUGACGGAGCAACGCCGCGUGAGUGAUGAAGGUCUUCGGAUCGUAAAACUCUGUUAUUAGGGAAGAACAAAUGUGUAAGUAACUAUGCACGUCUUGACGGUACCUAAUCAGAAAGCCACGGCUAACUACGUGCCAGCAGCCGCGGUAAUACGUAGGUGGCAAGCGUUAUCCGGAAUUAUUGGGCGUAAAGCGCGCGUAGGCGGUUUUUUAAGUCUGAUGUGAAAGCCCACGGCUCAACCGUGGAGGGUCAUUGGAAACUGGAAAACUUGAGUGCAGAAGAGGAAAGUGGAAUUCCAUGUGUAGCGGUGAAAUGCGCAGAGAUAUGGAGGAACACCAGUGGCGAAGGCGACUUUCUGGUCUGUAACUGACGCUGAUGUGCGAAAGCGUGGGGAUCAAACAGGAUUAGAUACCCUGGUAGUCCACGCCGUAAACGAUGAGUGCUAAGUGUUAGGGGGUUUCCGCCCCUUAGUGCUGCAGCUAACGCAUUAAGCACUCCGCCUGGGGAGUACGACCGCACACGGUUGAACU